Molecule: ribosomal RNA, 1227 nt
Filed under: Chryseobacterium sp. 93D
Lineage: Bacteria; Pseudomonadati; Bacteroidota; Flavobacteriia; Flavobacteriales; Weeksellaceae
Description: bacterial SSU rRNA
Rfam family: Bacterial small subunit ribosomal RNA
Source: RNAcentral
AAAGGAAGAUUAAUACCCCAUAAUAUACUGGAUGGCAUCAUUCGGUAUUGAAAACUCCGGUGGAUAGAGAUGGGCACGCGCAAGAUUAGAUAGUUGGUGAGGUAACGGCUCACCAAGUCUGCGAUCUUUAGGGGGCCUGAGAGGGUGAUCCCCCACACUGGUACUGAGACACGGACCAGACUCCUACGGGAGGCAGCAGUGAGGAAUAUUGGACAAUGGGUGAGAGCCUGAUCCAGCCAUCCCGCGUGAAGGACGACGGCCCUAUGGGUUGUAAACUUCUUUUGUAUAGGGAUAAACCUUUCCACGUGUGGGAAGCUGAAGGUACUAUACGAAUAAGCACCGGCUAACUCCGUGCCAGCAGCCGCGGUAAUACGGAGGGUGCAAGCGUUAUCCGGAUUUAUUGGGUUUAAAGGGUCCGUAGGCGGAUCUGUAAGUCAGUGGUGAAAUCUCACAGCUUAACUGUGAAACUGCCAUUGAUACUGCAGGUCUUGAGUGUUAUUGAAGUAGCUGGAAUAAGUAGUGUAGCGGUGAAAUGCAUAGAUAUUACUUAGAACACCAAUUGCGAAGGCAGGUUACUAAGCAACAACUGACGCUGAUGGACGAAAGCGUGGGGAGCGAACAGGAUUAGAUACCCUGGUAGUCCACGCCGUAAACGAUGCUAACUCGUUUUUGGGCUUUCGGGUUCAGAGACUAAGCGAAAGUGAUAAGUUAGCCACCUGGGGAGUACGAACGCAAGUUUGAAACUCAAAGGAAUUGACGGGGGCCCGCACAAGCGGUGGAUUAUGUGGUUUAAUUCGAUGAUACGCGAGGAACCUUACCAAGGCUUAAAUGGGAAAUGACAGGUUUAGAAAUAGACUUUUCUUCGGACAUUUUUCAAGGUGCUGCAUGGUUGUCGUCAGCUCGUGCCGUGAGGUGUUAGGUUAAGUCCUGCAACGAGCGCAACCCCUGUCACUAGUUGCCAUCAUUAAGUUGGGGACUCUAGUGAGACUGCCUACGCAAGUAGAGAGGAAGGUGGGGAUGACGUCAAAUCAUCACGGCCCUUACGCCUUGGGCCACACACGUAAUACAAUGGCCGGUACAGAGGGCAGCUACACAGCGAUGUGAUGCAAAUCUCGAAAGCCGGUCUCAGUUCGGAUUGGAGUCUGCAACUCGACUCUAUGAAGCUGGAAUCGCUAGUAAUCGCGCAUCAGCCAUGGCGCGGUGAAUACGUUCCCGGGCCUUGUACAC